AGAGUUUGAUCAUGGCUCAGAACGAACGCUGGCGGCGUGCCUAACACAUGCAAGUCGAGCGAGAAAGCGGCUUCGGCCGUAAGUAAAGCGGCGCACGGGUGAGUAACACGUAGGCAAUCUUCCGUCGGAAUCGGGAUAACCUGCCGAAAGGCGGGCUAAUACCGGAUAACGUCACGAGGUCUUCGGGCCUUGUGACAAAAGGCAGCUCGAAGAGGGUUGCGUCUGACGAUGAGCCUGCGGCCCAUCAGGUAGUUGGCGGGGUAACGGCCCACCAAGCCUAGGACGGGUAGCUGGUCUGAGAGGAUGAUCAGCCACACUGGAACUGAGACACGGUCCAGACUCCUACGGGAGGCAGCAGUGGGGAAUUUUGGACAAUGGGCGCAAGCCUGAUCCAGCAACGCCGCGUGGGUGAUGAAGGCCUUCGGGUUGUAAAGCCCUGUCGGGAGGGACGAAAGAACAGAGUAACGAACUGGAAUGACGGUACCUCCAAAGGAAGCACCGGCUAACUCUGUGCCAGCAGCCGCGGUAAUACAGAGGGUGCAAGCGUUGUUCGGAAUUACUGGGCGUAAAGCGCGUGUAGGUGGCAUGGUAAGUCUCGUGUGAAAGCCCUGGGCUCAACCCAGGAAGUGCGCGAGAUACUGCCGUGCUGGAGUGAUGGAGAGGAUGGCGGAAUUCCCGGUGUAGAGGUGAAAUUCGUAGAUAUCGGGAGGAACACCUGUGGCGAAGGCGGCCAUCUGGACAUUUACUGACACUGAGACGCGAAAGCGUGGGUAGCAAACAGGAUUAGAUACCCUGGUAGUCCACGCUAUAAACGAUGGAUGCUAGAUGUCGCGGGUAUUGACCCCUGCGGUGUCGACGCUACGCAUUAAGCAUCCCGCCU
Molecule: ribosomal RNA, 880 nt
Filed under: uncultured bacterium
Lineage: Bacteria
Description: bacterial SSU rRNA
Rfam family: Bacterial small subunit ribosomal RNA
Source: RNAcentral